UACAGAGGGUGCUAGCGUUGUUCGGAAUCAUUGGGCGUAAAGGGCGUGUAGGCGGUUUGUUAAGUCAUGUGUGAAAUCCCUCGGCUCAACCGGGGAACGACGCAUGAAACUGGCAAGCUAGAGUACCAAAGAGGGUGGUGGAAUUCCUGGUGUAGCAGUGAAAUGCGUAGAUAUCAGGAGGAACAUCGAUGGCGAAGGCGGCCCCCUGGACCAAUACUGACGCUGAGGUGCGAAAGCGUGGGGAGCAAACAGG
Molecule: ribosomal RNA, 253 nt
Filed under: uncultured bacterium
Lineage: Bacteria
Description: partial 16S ribosomal RNA
Rfam family: Bacterial small subunit ribosomal RNA
Source: RNAcentral